AGGGUCCCUUGUCACACGCCCAUUCCCGGCAGGUGUGGAAGGCCCCUCGCAUGCCUGGCCUCGACAGCGUUGUCCCGCCAGUUU
Molecule: non-coding RNA, 84 nt
Organism: Pseudomonas sp. Bc-h
Lineage: Bacteria; Pseudomonadati; Pseudomonadota; Gammaproteobacteria; Pseudomonadales; Pseudomonadaceae
Source: Rfam